Molecule: ribosomal RNA, 397 nt
Filed under: uncultured bacterium
Lineage: Bacteria
Description: bacterial SSU rRNA
Rfam family: Bacterial small subunit ribosomal RNA
Source: RNAcentral
GAUGAACGCUGGCGGCGUGCUUAACACAUGCAAGUCGAACGGGAAACAUUUUAUUGAAGCUUCGGCAGAUUUAGCUUGUUUCUAGUGGCGGACGGGUGAGUAACGCGUGGGUAACCUGCCUUAUACUGGGGGAUAACAGCCAGAAAUGACUGCUAAUACCGCAUAAGCGCACAGAACCGCAUGGUUCGGUGUGAAAAACUCCGGUGGUAUAAGAUGGACCCGCGUUGGAUUAGCUAGUUGGCAGGGCAGCGGCCUACCAAGGCGACGAUCCAUAGCCGGCCUGAGAGGGUGAACGGCCACAUUGGGACUGAGACACGGCCCAGACUCCUACGGGAGGCAGCAGUGGGGAAUAUUGCACAAUGGGGGGAAACCCUGAUGCAGCGACGCCGCGUGAAGG